RNAcentral lists this ribosomal RNA (422 nucleotides) under Lysobacteraceae bacterium. Its description in RNAcentral is "bacterial SSU rRNA". It matches the Rfam family "Bacterial small subunit ribosomal RNA", at positions 338 to 750 of the family's 1533-position model. Lineage: Bacteria; Pseudomonadati; Pseudomonadota; Gammaproteobacteria; Lysobacterales; Lysobacteraceae. The record is from RNAcentral.
CCUACGGGGCGCAGCAGUGGGGAAUCUUGGGCAAUGCAGCAAAGCCUGAUCCAGCACUGCCGCGUGUGUGAAGAAGCCCUUCGGGUGGUAAAGCUAUGUUGUCCGGAAAGAAAUCUAAGCCUCUUAUACAGUAGGGAGAUGACGGUACCGGAAGAAUAAGCACCGGCUAACUUCGUGCCAGCAGCCGCGGUAAUACGUAGGGUGCGAGCGUUAUUCGGAUUUACUGGGCGUAAAGCGUGCGUAGGCGGCAGUUUAAGUCAGAGGUGAAAUCCCGGGGCUCAACCUCGGAAGUGCCUUUGAUACUGGAUGGCUUGAGUGCAGUAGAGGUGAGUGGAAUUCCACGUGUAGCGGUGAAAUUCGUAGAUAUUUGGGAGGAACACCAGUGGCGAAGCCGGCUCUCUUGGCCUGAUACUGACGCUGAG